UCCUACGGGAGGCAGCAGUAGGGAAUCUUCCGCAAUGGACGAAAGUCUGACGGAGCAACGCCGCGUGAGUGAUGAAGGCUUUCGGGUCGUAAAACUCUGUUGUUAGGGAAGAACAAGUUGGGUAGUAACUGACCCAACCUUGACGGUACCUAACCAGAAAGCCACGGCUAACUACGUGCCAGCAGCCGCGGUAAUACGUAGGUGGCAAGCGUUAUCCGGAAUUAUUGGGCGUAAAGCGCGCGCAGGUGGUUUCUUAAGUCUGAUGUGAAAGCCCACGGCUCAACCGUGGAGGGUCAUUGGAAACUGGGAGACUUGAGUGCAGAAGAGGAAAGUGGAAUUCCAUGUGUAGCGGUGAAAUGCGUAGAGAUAUGGAGGAACACCAGUGGCGAAGGCGACUUUCUGGUCUGUAACUGACACUGAGGCGCGAAAGCGUGGGGAGCAAACAGGAUUAGAUACCCUGGUAGUCCACGCCGUAAACGAUGAGUGCUAAGUGUUAGAGGGUUUCCGCCCUUUAGUGCUGGAGUUAACGCAUUAAGCACUCCGCCUGGGGAGUACGGUCGCAAGACUGAAACUCAAAUGAA
RNAcentral lists this ribosomal RNA (581 nucleotides) under uncultured bacterium. RNAcentral's name for it is "bacterial SSU rRNA". It matches the Rfam family "Bacterial small subunit ribosomal RNA", at positions 337 to 909 of the family's 1533-position model. The record is from RNAcentral.